AGUGAACGCUGGCGGUAGGCCUAACACAUGCGAGUCGAACGGCAGCACAGUAAGCGCUUGCUCUUACGGGUGGCGAGUGGCGGACGGGUGAGGAAUACAUCGGAAUCUACUUUUUCGUGGGGGAUAACGUAGGGAAACUUACGCUAAUACCGCAUACGACCUACGGGUGAAAGCAGGGGAUCUUCGGACCUUGCGCGAUUGAAUGAGCCGAUGUCGGAUUAGCUAGUUGGCGGGGUAAAGGCCCACCAAGGCGACGAUCCGUAGCUGGUCUGAGAGGAUGAUCAGCCACACUGGAACUGAGACACGGUCCAGACUCCUACGGGAGGCAGCAGUGGGGAAUAUUGGACAAUGGGCGCAAGCCUGAUCCAGCCAUACCGCGUGGGUGAAGAAGGCCUUCGGGUUGUAAAGCCCUUUUGUUGGGAAAGAAAAGCAGCAGGUUAAUACCCCGCUGUUCUGACGGUACCCAAAGAAUAAGCACCGGCUAACUUCGUG
RNAcentral lists this ribosomal RNA (492 nucleotides) under uncultured bacterium. RNAcentral describes it as "partial 16S ribosomal RNA". It matches the Rfam family "Bacterial small subunit ribosomal RNA", at positions 29 to 507 of the family's 1533-position model. The record is from RNAcentral.